AUUAGGGUGGCAGAGCCAGGUUAAUGCAAAAGGCCUAAGACCUUUAUUCCAGACGUUCAAAUCCUCUCCCUAAUUC
Molecule: transfer RNA, 76 nt
Filed under: Eurylepis taeniolata (Alpine Punjab skink)
Lineage: Eukaryota; Metazoa; Chordata; Lepidosauria; Squamata; Scincidae
Description: tRNA-Leu
Rfam family: tRNA
About the family: Transfer RNA (tRNA) molecules are approximately 80 nucleotides in length. Their secondary structure includes four short double-helical elements and three loops (D, anti-codon, and T loops). Further hydrogen bonds mediate the characteristic L-shaped molecular structure. tRNAs have two regions of fundamental functional importance: the anti-codon, which is responsible for specific mRNA codon recognition, and the 3' end, to which the tRNAs corresponding amino acid is attached (by aminoacyl-tRNA synthetases). tRNAs cope with the degeneracy of the genetic code in two manners: having more than one tRNA (with a specific anti-codon) for a particular amino acid; and 'wobble' base-pairing, i.e. permitting non-standard base-pairing at the 3rd anti-codon position.
Source: RNAcentral